AGCAGCCGCGGUAAUUCCAGCUCCAAUAGCGUAUAUUAAAGUUGUUGCAGUUAAAAAGCUCGUAGUUGAACCUUAGGCCCGUGCGGGCGGUCCGUCCUCUGGGCGAGCACUGCCUCGUCGCGGGUCUCACCUUCUGGCGAGCGUGGAUGCCAUUCAUUUGGUGUCUGCGGGAACCAGGACCUUUACCUUGAAAAAUUAGAGUGCUCAAAGCGGGCUCUUACGCUUGAAUACAUUAGCAUGGAAUAAUGAAAUAGGACGACGGUUCUAUUUUGUUGGUUUUCGGGAUUGUCGUAAUGAUUAAUAGGGAUAGUUGGGGGCAUUCGUAUUCAAUUGUCAGAGGUGAAAUUCUUGGAUUUAUUGAAGACGGACUACUGCGAAAGCAUUUGCCAAGGACGUUUUCAUUAAUCAAGAACGAAAGUUAGGGGAUCGAAGACGAUCAGAUACCGUCGUAGUCUUA
This 457-nucleotide small RNA is filed under the name uncultured Paraglomus. RNAcentral describes it as "bacterial SSU rRNA". It matches the Rfam family "Eukaryotic small subunit ribosomal RNA", at positions 569 to 1028 of the family's 1831-position model. The record is from RNAcentral. Lineage: Eukaryota; Fungi; Glomeromycota; Glomeromycetes; Paraglomerales; Paraglomeraceae.